AAAUAAGUAAGCUAACUCCUAAGCUCUUAGGCUCAUACCCUAAAAAUAGAUUAUAUUAAUAUCUCUUAUUUA
Molecule: transfer RNA, 72 nt
Filed under: Camponotus concavus
Lineage: Eukaryota; Metazoa; Arthropoda; Insecta; Hymenoptera; Formicidae
Description: tRNA-Met
Source: RNAcentral